Pan troglodytes (chimpanzee) is the source of this 4581-nucleotide RNA transcript. It is a transcript of the gene named unc-51 like kinase 4, with no coding region annotated. Lineage: Eukaryota; Metazoa; Chordata; Mammalia; Primates; Hominidae. The record is from RefSeq and is a predicted model, not a curated record. The transcript is spliced from 38 exons.
GUUCUGCGUGCUGCCAUGGAGAUGGAAUGAGCAAAUCCAAACAUAGAGGGAUGGUGGGCCGACCACUAUGACUGUUACUCCAGCACUUCCCGCCCCAGUCUCUGGCCUGUGGGCUCGUCCAAAGGCAGGGCGUGAUGCCCUUUGGGUGGAGGGAGGGGCCCUCGUGGUCUCUCACUUCCGGGCCCCAGCCAACAGGAACGGAAACUGCACAGCCAGUCAGCUUCCUGAGCUUCUUCCGGCGUUCUGUGUGCUGCCGUGGAAACCGUAUGGACGAAUCCAAACCUGGAGGGGCGUCGCCUCCGUAAGGCUGGUCGGCUUCUUCCGCGCGUUCCGCUUUGCUUCUCUGCUUUCUCCCCCAUUCUUGGGCCUGUGGACCUGUCCUGAGGCAGAGGCCGAGAUGCGCGCAACCGCGGGAGCAGCCAAGUGGACUGGACUCUUUUCUUGACUGAGCUACCAGGAGCUAGAGAUGCUGUUAUUCUAUCGUAUGUGAGAAGUCGGCCCAGAGAUGGAAAACUUUAUUCUGUAUGAGGAGAUCGGAAGAGGAAGCAAGACUAUUGUCUAUAAAGGGCGACGGAAGGGAACAAUCAAUUUUGUAGCCAUUCUUUGUACUGAUAAGUGCAAAAGGCCUGAAAUAACCAACUGGGUCCGUCUCACCCAUGAAAUAAAACAUAAGAAUAUUGUAACUUUUCAUGAAUGGUAUGAAACAAGCAACCACCUCUGGCUAGUGGUGGAACUCUGCACAGGUGGUUCCUUAAAAACAGUUAUUGCUCAAGAUGAAAACCUCCCAGAAGAUGUUGUGAGACAAUUUGGAAUUGACCUGAUUAGUGGAUUACAUCAUCUUCAUAAACUUGGCAUUCUCUUUUGUGACAUUUCUCCUAGGAAGAUACUCUUGGAAGGGCCUGGCACACUGAAGUUUAGCAACUUUUGCUUGGCAAAAGUGGAAGGUGAAAAUUUGGAAGAGUUCUUUGCUUUGGUGGCAGCAGAGGAAGGAGGAGGUGAUAAUGGGGAAAAUGUCCUGAAGAAAAGCAUGAAAAGUAGAGUCAAAGGAUCUCCUGUAUAUACAGCACCAGAAGUUGUGAGGGGUGCUGACUUUUCCAUCUCCAGUGACCUCUGGUCUUUGGGCUGUCUGCUUUAUGAAAUGUUUUCAGGAAAACCUCCAUUCUUCUCAGAAAGUAUUUCAGAAUUAACUGAAAAGAUCUUAUGUGAAGAUCCUUUGCCACCUAUUCCGAAAGAUUCUUCUCGUCCUAAAGCUUCAUCUGAUUUUAUUAAUUUGCUUGAUGGGUUACUUCAAAGAGAUCCUCAGAAAAGAUUAACUUGGACAAGGCUACUGCAGCAUUCAUUUUGGAAGAAAGCUUUUGCUGGAGCAGAUCAGGAAUCAAGCGUCGAAGAUCUCACUCUCAGCAGAAACACUAUGGAGUGUUCUGGGCCACAAGAUUCCAAGGAGCUUUUGCAGAACUCUCAGAGUAGACAAGCAAAAGGGCACAAGAGUGGUCAACCACUAGGUCACUCUUUCAGACUAGAAAAUCCAACUGAGUUUCGGCCUAAGAGUACUCUUGAGGGUCAAUUGAAUGAAUCCAUGUUUCUUCUCAGUUCUCGUCCUACUCCCAGAACUAGCACUGCAGUGGAAGUAAGUCCUGGUGAGGAUAUGACUCACUGUUCACCACAGAAGACUUCUCCUCUGACCAAGAUUACAAGUGGACACCUGAGUCAGCAGGACCUGGAAUCCCAGAUGAGAGAGCUUAUCUACAUGGACUCAGAUCUUGUUGUCACCCCCAUUAUCGACAAUCCAAAGAUAAUGAAACAGCCACCAGUUAAAUUUGAUGCAAAAAUAUUGCAUCUACCAACAUAUUCAGUGGAUAAGUUAUUAUUUCUGAAAGAUCAAGAUUGGAAUGACUUUUUGCAACAAGUGUGCUCGCAGAUCGACUCCACUGAGAAGAGCAUGGGGGCCUCCCGAGCCAAGCUGAAUCUCCUUUGCUAUUUGUGCGUGGUGGCUGGUCACCAGGAGGUGGCCACCAGGCUCCUCCAUUCCCCCCUGUUCCAAUUGCUAAUCCAGCAUUUGCGGAUAGCUCCAAACUGGGAUAUACGGGCCAAGGUUGCUCGCGUGAUUGGUUUACUGGCUUCGCACACAACUGAGCUCCAGGAAAAUACACCUGUUGUUGAGGCAAUUGUUCUCUUAACUGAAUUAAUUAGGGAAAACUUCAGGAACAGCAAAUUAAAACAGUGCCUUUUACCAACCCUUGGGGAGCUGAUCUAUCUUGUAGCCACCCAGGAAGAAAAAAAAAAGAACCCUAGAGAGUGCUGGGCUGUUCCCUUGGCUGCAUACACAGUGCUAAUGAGGUGCCUUCGGGAAGGGGAAGAGCGUGUUGUGAAUCACAUGGCAGCAAAAAUUAUUGAAAAUGUCUGUACCACCUUUUCUGCUCAGGCCCAGGGCUUUAUUACAGGAGAAAUAGGACCCAUUUUAUGGUACCUAUUCAGGCACUCCACUGCUGAUUCUCUUAGGAUAACAGCAGUAUCGGCCUUGUGUAGAAUCACUCGCCAUUCUCCUACUGCCUUCCAGAAUGUUAUUGAAAAGGUGGGACUGAACUCAGUAAUAAACUCCCUGGCCUCUGCCAUCUGCAAAGUUCAGCAGUACAUGUUGACCUUAUUCACUGCCAUGUUGUCCUGUGGGAUUCAUCUUCAAAGACUAAUCCAAGAAAAGGGUUUUGUCUCCACAAUUAUCCGUUUACUUGACAGCCCCUCAACAUGCAUUAGAGCAAAAGCCUUCCUGGUUCUUCUGUAUAUUUUGAUUUAUAACCGUGAGAUGUUGCUGCUCAGUUGCCAAGCAAGACUGGUGAUGUACAUCGAGAGAGACAGCAGAAAGACCACUCCAGGCAAGGAGCAGCAAAGUGGCAAUGAAUACCUGUCCAAAUGCCUGGAUCUUCUCAUCUGUCACAUUGUGCAGGAGCUGCCACGAAUCCUGGGUGACAUUCUUAACUCCUUGGCUAAUGUUUCUGGACGUAAACACCCAUCAACAGUUCAAGUGAAACAGCUGAAGAUGUGUCUCCCCCUGAUGCCUAUAGUGCUUCACCUGGUAACUUCACAGGUAUUUCGACCUCAAGUUGUGACAGAAGAGUUUCUUUUCAGCUAUGGAACUAUUCUUAGUCAUAUUAAAUCUGUAGACUCAGGAGAAACGAACAUAGAUGGAGCCAUAGGACUGACAGCAUCAGAAGAAUUUAUCAAGAUCACAUUGUCAGCUUUUGAAGCAAUAAUACAGUAUCCUAUUUUAUUGAAAGACUAUCGCUCCACGGUUGUUGACUAUAUCCUGCCACCCUUGGUGUCCUUGGUUCAAAGCCAAAAUGUGGAGUGGAGACUCUUUAGCUUGCGGUUGCUCUCAGAAACCACAUCUCUACUCGUGAACCAGGAGUUUGGGGAUGGCAAGGAGAAGGCCAGUGUUGAUUCUGACAGCAAUCUUCUGGCUCUCAUUCGAGAUGUCUUACUUCCCCAGUAUGAGCACAUUCUUGUAGAACCUGACCCAGUACCAGCAUAUGCUCUGAAACUGCUAGUCGCGAUGACUGAACACAACCCAACUUUCACAAGAUACAGAGUAAAAACUGGGGAGGGCAGCCAAGAUGGCCGAAUAGGAACAGCUCCGGUCUACAGCUCCCAGCGUGAGCGACGCAGAAGACCGGUGAUUUCUGCAUUUCCAUCUGAGACUUGUGGAAGAAAGCAAACUGAUCCCACUCAUUUUUGAAGUAACUCUGGAACAUCAGGAGAGCAUUCUGGGUAAUACCAUGCAAAGUGUGAUUGCAUUACUCAGCAAUCUAGUUGCCUGCAAAAAUUCGAAUAUGGAACUACUUUAUGAACAAGGACUUGUCAGUCACAUCUGUAACCUGCUCACUGAAACUGCCACACUGUGCUUGGAUGUGGACAAUAAAAACAACAACGAGAUGGCAGCUACACUGCUCUUUUCCCUGCUUGAUAUUUUGCACAGCAUGCUGACCUAUACCUCCGGUAUUGUACGGCUGGCUUUGCAGGCCCAGAAGUCUGGCUCAGGAGAGGACCCUCAGGCUGCAGAAGACCUGCUGCUGCUCAACAGACCUCUGACAGACCUGAUUAGCCUGCUUAUUCCACUGCUUCCUAAUGAAGAUCCUGAGAUUUUUGACGUUUCAUCCAAGUGCCUGUCUAUACUGGUUCAGCUGUAUGGAGGGGAAAACCCGGACAGCCUCUCUCCUGAAAAUGUGGAAAUUUUUGCUCAUUUACUGACAUCCAAGGAGGACCCAAAGGAGCAGAAGCUUCUGUUAAGGAUUCUCAGAAGAAUGAUCACCUCCAAUGAGAAGCACUUGGAGAGCCUCAAGAAUGCAGGCAGCCUCCUGCGGGCUCUGGAGCGGCUGGCCCCUGGGAGUGGUUCAUUUGCCGACAGUGCGGUGGCUCCCUUGGCCCUGGAAAUCCUCCAAGCCGUUGGACACUAGGCGAGAAGUGCUUAGCACAAGCACACCCUGUGGCCCCAGCCCUCGGAUGCACAAGCAAGGUCAGCUCCCAGACACCUUUGCCACAUCCCCUCACAGCUGUCUUUGGACCUAAUAAAGUCAGCUUAACCCAGAA